CUUAAAUAAAAAAAUGGAAACUAAUCAAAAGAGUGAGAGAAAAAGUUAGUAUAAUAUGCACAAAAGGCUAUAGAUGAUCAAUCCUCAAGAAAAUGUAACAAUGGAGAUGAUAAUGGCUGCUCCAGAAAAUGAAGAACGACCAGUUUAUGCACUUAAUGAAUUCAAUCUUAAAAUGACCCCUGACGAAUAUGUUGGUAUACAUCUGAAUGGAAGGCGACUGAGUUUUAGACAGUUGAGGUUGAGGUACUAUAGUGAUGGGCACAACCAUGGUGUUGGAACAAGAUGAGUUUGUUCUGGAGUUGUCGAAGCUGCACACUUAUGACGAUGUCGUGGAAAGAGUGGCUAAGAAACUUGGUCUUGACAAUGAAUUGCAAGGUCUUAAAACCAUAAAAGUUGCUUUCCAUCAUGCGCCAGGGGCGGAUCCACCAUAUACAUGGGUGGUGCAGGUGCAUCAUAUGAAUUUUAGAAAAUAUAUGUAUAUUAUAUAAUUUCUAUAGUAUGCACCACAAUGAAAUGUAAAAUUGCACCCUACUUAUUUAUUCCUACAUCUCAAUGAAUAUUAAUUUUCUAAGGUUUAAAGUCCAAUAGAUAUACCAAAUUUUAAAUCCACUUAAUUUUAUUCCUUUUUCUUUUGAUCGAAGAUA
Camelina sativa (false flax) is the source of this 644-nucleotide non-coding RNA. The record is from RefSeq and is a predicted model, not a curated record. NCBI's taxonomy places the organism in Eukaryota, Viridiplantae, Streptophyta, Magnoliopsida, Brassicales, Brassicaceae.